Echria macrotheca is the source of this 92-nucleotide non-coding RNA. NCBI's taxonomy places the organism in Eukaryota, Fungi, Ascomycota, Sordariomycetes, Sordariales, Schizotheciaceae. The record is from the annotation of a GenBank genome assembly.
UCUCCCGUGGCGCAAUUGGCUAGCGCGUCAGACUGUUAUCUGCACAAAACAGGUUCAUCUGGAGGCUGUAAGUUCAAUCCUUACCGGGAGAG